AUUAUAAGAAUUUAAAUAACAUGGCCAAAGAAUACUAGAAAAUAGAUUAUGAUCACAAGUAAAAUGUAACAAAUCCGAGAUGCCUGCUACUUGAUAGUAGGAAUUAUUGUCAGUUUGGUUAAUAUAGUCCUGUAUCUUUAAUAGGAGUGGAUGAUUAUUAAUAGAAGUUAAUUUGAGAAAGAAUUUUGUUUGUAGAUAUUUGAAUCUAAGAGCUAGUGGGGGAAUAUUACAUUCUACUUGUAAUGAUAUUAUAGGAGUAGACCUAAAAGUACCUGUUAUGAUCCUUAAGCAUUUAUUUUGUAUUUUUUCUAAUUUAUUCACUAAUGUAAUUACUCCACCAUAACAAAUGAAGGCAUACUCAAAAUGGCUACGGACUAAUGACUUAUAUAGUGUUAGCAAGAUGCGUGGGUCUGCACCCCAAUAUGUACCAGCUAAUGAUUUCAGAAUAUUGCAGGCCUUUAAUGCUCGAUUUUCUAAUAUUUUGACAUAUUUGUGCCAUCUAAAAUUACUUAAAAAGGGACAUUUAAGGAUAGAAGAAUGGAUGGUAAUUGUUCUAAAUCAACAUUAUUAAAUGCUCCUACAACAUCCAAAAAAACACCAGCCAAUAUCUUAUUGUCAAUCUGGGCACUAUGGAUGUCAAGACAUAAAUGCCGUAGACUCUCACAAGCAGAACGACCACAUCGAAAUCCAAAUUGAUUAUUAGAUUACUGUGUGGAGGAAUGUUGUAUGGAAUUGAAGAAGAUUCAGUUUCCGACACUACCAUGGAAAAUUUUGUGUAGUGUGUAGGCAAGUGAUAGCUGCCCAAAGAGUCCUGAUGAACUUGCCAUUCACAGCACAGGAAUAAUGAAGAUGAUACUAUUGUUAAUUCUAGUCCAUUUGGUCUCCAAGAAUUUGUACCCACUGUAGUUGGUUGAUCAUUAUUUAAGAGCAUUAAGUCAUUAUCGUCCAUUACAUCCAUGAUGUCUCUACCUCUAGAAUUGGUUCUAUUACAACCCCAAAUGGUAUGGUGAGCAUUAAAAUCACCUGCAAUUAUUAAUGGUUUUGGAAUACUAUGCAACAGUCUAUUAAAUUUAGAUUUUUCAAAGUUAGGUACACUGUUGCCAGGACUAUAAAAGCUAACAAUUGAGAUGUCUUUUUGUUUGUAUUUAAUUUUGAUUGCUACAUUUUGCAAGGAGAUAUCAGAAAAUGUUUCUAACUUUUGAAAAUAAAUGCCAUUUCUAACAAAAAUUGCUACACCAUUGUGAUCAUUACCGCAAUCAUUUCUUAUUAUUGUAUAACCUCUGAUAGAAAACUGUAUAUUUGGUUUAAGCCAAGUUUCUUAUAUAAGUGCUAUGUGUAUGUCCUGCUCAUAAAGUAGGUUUGAAGCUCAAGUAUGUUACUCAACAGACUUGCUCAAGUCUGUUACUCAACAGACUUUGAGCAUUCCACUGUACUAUGUUAAGUUUGUGACAGUUGAAUGUUAAACCAAGGGGUGGUAAACACCCCUUGGUCUCACGGUGAAAGUAAUGGAGUUUUGUCGCAGUGGGUGGAAGUGGGUGGUUGUGGGUGGCAAAAAUGUGAAUAAAUAUAUAUCUGUCCUUUUUCUAACUCAUGAGAACUUCUGGAAAGUUAUGGAAAUUUCUAGAAUUAUCUAGAAAACUCCAGAAUGUCUUCAACGGUUACAAUCGAUCUAGAACGUUCUACACUGGCCUGCAAGAGUAAGUAUCACACUUUUCAAAUUAAAUUUAUUUCUUAACUAUAGAAGGUAGAGAUUUAAGAUAAAAACGAUUUGUUGCAAAUUUUAUAGGCUUUAAUUCUUAGAAACUAAAAUUAUACAUUAGUAACAUUUUUAACUUUAAAAAGAUAAAACAAUGAAAAAAGACAUUUUUAGUUUAGUGUAAAAAAAUUCAAGUAAAAUGUAUUACAUGUUAUUUAAUUUUUAAUAACUGGUAUUGCCUCCUCGAGCUCUGAUUACAGCUUCGAGCCGGUUUGGCAUACUGAACACUAGGUUUCGGAGUCGAUGUUGGGGAAUAUUCUCCCAUUCUUCUACCAGGGCCUGCUUUAGUGCCCUGAGGGUAGUAGGUGGUGGUUUGCGAUUUCUGACUAGCCUCCCAAGCUCAUCCCAGGCGUGUUCAAUCGGGUUCAGAUCAGGACUUCUUGAUGGCCAAGCCAUCACGCUGAUACCGACCUCCUGAAUAUACUCUUGUACGAUAUGAGCCGUGUGUGGCCGGGCAUUAUCAUGCAUCAGCAUCGAUCCAUCACCCAUAUUUGCGAAAUACGGCCCUGCAUACUCAUUGAGAAUCUCUUGAGCAUAUCUUUGCCCACUCAGGGUGCCAUUUUCUAUGGCUACUAGCUCUGUGCGACCUUCUGAAUAUAUGCCAGCCCAUACAUGUACACUGCCUCCACCGUAUUGGACUCUUUCUGAGAUGCAGGCUUGAAGGUAUCGCUCACCAGGUCGCCUGUAAACACUUCGCCAUCCAUCAGAAGUGUAAAGGGAGAAUCGAGACUCAUCUGCAAACAAAAUUCUUGACCAUUCUUCUUCAUCCCACUGCAUGUGUUCACGGGCGUAUCGCAGUCUCGCUACUCGAUGCUGUCUCUCGAGUUUUGGGCCACUCGCUGGUCUUCGGGGUUUCUGAAGCAAAUUUGAAACCCACUUCUUCUCACUGUACUAUCACUAAUGAAGUACAGUGAGAAGAAGUGGUGUGACCCUCCAGGUCUGAAGUAGCUGUUGCUGGACUUCAACUGCAUUUUGGUGGCGAUUUCUUAACACAGUGGAAAUAAUUUAACGAUCUUCUUGGGCACUGGUACACCUGGGUCUGCCAUUACCUCUCCUCUCUCUCCUCAGAUGGUGUCCAGUCUCUUCGUACCUUCGCUUUACCUUCUGGACCGUUCGUACCGUCACACCCACCAUUCUUGCAGUGCGACGCAUACUGAUGCCUAGUUCCAGAAAAGCCAUGAUUCUAGCACAGUCUUCAACUGUAAGAGGCAUGAUAAAUAAAUGCUAUGUGCUUUUUAGCAUAAAUUUUUAAAACAAGACCCAUCGAUCUUGAAAAAAAUUUAAAACAGAAAGAAAAAUGUGAAUGGUGAAAUUGUAAUUCGGAAACGUCCACUUUGAAAAAGGAAUGGUUUUGUUUUUGAAGUUUUUUUUUCAGCCAAUUCAUAAAAGAAGGCUACCGACUAUAAAGUUUUUAUGUACAAAAUUAAAUUCUCUUUGGAGUCCUUUUUAUUUCGAAAGUAUAUCUUGUGAACUUAAAACGUUAUCCCAAUUUUAAAAGUGUGAUACUUACUUUUGAAGGCCAGUGUAGUUAUAAUUAAUUGGGAUGUCUAAUCUAAUCAAUCAUAUAUCUGAACUUAAAAAUGUCAAAUGAUGUCAAAUAUGUCAAAUGUCUUAUAUUAACGUUCAUGACGUUGGUAUCGCUUGUAAGCACAUCAAGCUGACAAUAUCUUUUAUUUUAUUUUACUUAUAAUAUUUUUCAUGUUAAUUAAAUGGAUAACUAAUUUUUAAUGGCUGAUCAACUACAUUGAAGUCGAGCAUAGUAGAUGUUCGUUUGCAAAUUCAAACCAAUGAUUAUGAUUUAGUGAUUCUUACGGAGACAUGGCUAAAUGCUUCAGUUUAUGACUCUUAAGUUAUUUGAUGAUCGCUAUGUAGUUUAUCAAAGAGAUCGGUUUGGUAAUAGGAAUGAAGGUGGAGUUUUAAUAACUAUUAAGAAAAAAAUACAUUCACUGCCGAUGCCUGAAUUCAGGAUUUCGGGAGUCUGAGUGUGAAGACUUGUGGGUAAAGAUAAAAAGGAGAAAUUCAGAAAACCAAUUUGUAGUAAUUCAUAUCUUCACCGUUUAUUUACCACCUCCACUAAAUUUAUUAUAUACUAGUCAAAACAAAAUAAGGGCCACCACGUUUUUACAGUAUUCUCAUGAAUCCUUGAGGUUUAAAGUUUGAUCAAUGAUUCAAUUGGAUAAAUUGAUUGAUUUUUAUUGUAGAGAGAAUAAAAUAAUGAUGCAUUCCAUUAAAAAAAGAAAUUUUCUCUACUUUUUCUAAAAAUUAACAUUUUUGCAAAAAUAAUUAGUAAGGAAACAAAAUCUGAAAAAAUAAAAACCUAAAAUGUCGGUUGUUUUAUGACUUUCCUCAAUAUCUAGUAUGCCGUCCUCGAUUACUAAUGCACUCUUGAAGCCUAGAAGGUACACUCUCCACCAGGUGUACCACUGUUUCUUGAGGAAUUUGUUCCCAGCUUGAUUUCAGAACGUUCAUUAUCUGUCUUUCAUUGUGCACGGGUUGGUUUGUGCUUCAGACACUGCGUUUCAGUAAGUCCCACAUGUGUUCAAUGGGAUUUAGAUCCGGACUGUUUGCAGGCCAGUCCAACACCUGUAUACCAGCCUCCUCUAGGGCUUCUCUGGUGGCCCUAGCUGUAUGAGCGCAGGCAUUAUCGUGCAUCAGGUGGAAUCUUGCGCCGAUUCUGUGUGCAUAUGUGACCACAUGGGGUCUUAUGACCUCCUCGAUGUAACGUUGAGCUGUUAUUGUGCCUUCGUUUAGAAUUACCAGCUCGGUUCUGCCGGACUUAGAGAUUCCUCCCCAUACCAUAACAUUGGGGCCCCCAAAUCUAUCACUUUCAUGGAUGCAACCAUCCGAAAAUCGCUCACCUUCACGCCUCCAGACCCUAAUGCGACGGUCAUCACUAAAAAAUUUCACUUUGCACUCAUCCGUAAACAAUACUGUCCUCCAAUUGUUCAUAUCCCACGCCAGAUGCUGCCUUGCGAAUGAUAAUCGGUUUGCACGAUGAGCACUUGUUAAUGGUAUCCGCACUACACGUCUCCCGGAGAACUACUGGUCCUCGUAUAAACGAUUUCUAACAGUUUGUACACUAACACGUAUACUGGUCGCCUGCCGCAAACGGUUUUGUAAGGAACGGGCUGUUAUACAGCGUUCUCCACGCGCAGUCAAGCACACGUAGCGGUCCUCCUGUGGUGUAGUUGCUCGAACUCUGCCAGAUCUCCGUCUCCUGGUUAGUCUCCCAGUCUCUUGAAAACGAUUCCAAGCAUUGUGGAUCGCUCGCCGGGAAAAACCCAGCUGCAACGCCACAGAACGCUGCGAAUGGCCUCGUCUUGAAGCAAUGUUACGGCCCUAGUUACGGUUGGCAAGUCCAUAUGACUUCGAAUUCUCGGCAUAACUUUUUUUUAAAUGUUAAUUCAGCCACUAGUCAAACAAAACUGACAGUGUUUCUGAGAGAAUCGUCAAUUUGACUGAGUUGAAAUCCGUCUUAAAAUCGGGUAGAAUCAAGUGGUUACAAUAAAUUAUCUAAAACUACCCACUUUAAACAAUUAUGAGGGUGGAAUGCUCAAAAAAUGUGUGUAAGCAAAUAAGGUAACACCACAAUAAAUUAUCAGCUACUUGAGAAUGCAUUAAAAAUAAAUUAUCGCUAGCGAGGCCAAAAAAUCAAGUGGCCCUUAUUUUGUUUUGACUAGUAUAUAUAUUAAAUAUUAUAAAAUUAUAUAUAUAUUAAAAUUUUAAAACAUGUUCCGAAAUGCAAGAAAUUUUAUAAUAAAUAUCCUAAAGGUAUUGAAAUUAAAAUUAAAGAACCGGAAAAAAUAUAAAAACCCUCUUGACAAGAUUGAAUUUGAAUAUUUAAGACGUGAUUGCAAUGAACUAAUUAAAAAAAUGUAUUCAAAUUAUGUAAUCAGCAUUGAAAAUGAUAUUUCAAAAAACCCUAAAUAUUUUUGGACUUAUAUUAAAAAUACUCGUAAAAGCUAUUCCAAUUACCCUAAUACUUUAAUUUAUAAAGAGGUACAAGCAAAUUGAUGCCCAACAUUUAUAUAUCUCAAAGAAGUAACAUUCAAAAAUUAAAAAGUCUUGAUAUCAAACAAAGUGUUGGCCCUGAUAAAAUUCCAGCAAUAUUUCUUAAUAAUAAUAAUAAAUAAUAAAUUCUUUAUUUCGACCAACAAAGGAUCAUAAUGUGUUAGUAACAAAAUACCUUAAAACCUUGUGUUAGUACAAGAUAUCUUAAAAUCUAAGCCUUCCUAAUCUAGGACAGGGCCGACUUGUCAGCACAUGUAUCAAACAGCAGUGGUUCAGGUACUGACAAUCGAACCUGUGAGAAAAUGCCCUCAAAAUACCAUUGGGGCUAGCCCGGACCCUACGCAACAGGGACGUACACUGCUUACGCAUAGUCGCGUAAAAACAGUCUACGCGUGCCUCAGCAAACAUCCCCGACGCGCUGCAGUAUCGUGGCAAGCCCAAUAACAUUCUGAACGCAUUAUUAUACUGAACACGCAGGGCAAUUGUACUGCUUCUGCGCAUAGUCGACCCACAGACUGCUCGUGUAAAAUGAGGUGCAGUAAAGCAUUGUGCAUACUCACUUUCAACACCACUGCACAUCGUGUACAAUGCUUCUCUGGAAAAGGGCAUAUUUCCUGAUUUGUGGAAAGAGGCAAGAAUAGUUCCAAUAUAUAAAAACGGCAACAAGAAAUUGGCAAAUAAUUACCGUCCUAUUUCUAUUCUAUCGACGUGCUCUAAGGUCUUUGAAAGUCUAGUUCAUGAAUCGAUAUUCCACCAUGUUCGUGGCUCUUUAUUCUCCAACAUAGUUUUAUAGAUAAAAGAUCUGCCAAUACUAACCUUCUAAGUUAUUCGACUGGUCUAAUUGAUACUAUGGACAAAACCCAACAAGUUGAUGUUAUCUACACGGAUUUCUCAAAGGCGUUUGACAAGGUAGAUCACCAUAUUCUUAUUAAUAAAUUAAAUAAAUUUGGAAUCUCAAUUCCACUCUUGACAUGGUGUCAGUCCUAUUUGUACAACAGACCAGCAAAAGUUGUUUUGGAUGGAUUGUAAGUCUGACCCUUACAUUGCAACAUCUGGCGUACCUCAAGGCUCAAACCUAGGUCCUUUUGUUUUUCAAUUUAUUUAUUAAUGAUAUUCCUAGUGUUAUCCAAAACUGCAAGAUAUUUCUAUUUGCCGAUGACUUAAAAAUUUGCCGAACGAUUGUAAAUGAAAAUGAUUGUCAUUUACUAUAAGAUGACAUUAAUAACCUAACGAAAUGGUGUAAAUAUAAUAAAAUGUAUCUCAAUACUGACAAAUGUUUCUCAAUUACAUUUUCAAGAAAAAAAAUAUCAACGGGCUUACUAAUAUAAGAUUGACAAUAUAACAUUUACUGAUGAAAUCAGAGAUUUAGGUAUUACAAUUGACAAAGAGUUACGGUUUGUCAGUCACAUAGAUAAAUUGCAAAUUCUGCACUCAGUACACUAGGGUUUGUCUCUCUUAUCACACUAUUGAAUAGCCUUGUACGAAGCAAGCUCGAGUAUUGUUGUCAAGUCUGGUCCCCGUGCUAUAACAUCCACAUCAAAAGAAUAGAAAGUAUUCAAAUAAAUGUUAAUUUAACUUAUCAUAUACCCAGAAUACUGAACAGCUACGGCUUGAGUUCUUUAAAAUACAGAGUUUGGAAGAGAGGCGUAACUUGUUAGACUUAAAGUUCUUACAUAAACUGUUUCACAAUUUAAUGUACCUCGAAGUGCCCCUCGAAGUCAACGUCCAUUUUUUGCACUAAUGAAAGUAAAUACAAACCUGGGUAAAAAUUCUCCAAUCGAGCGAAUGGUAAGAGUAUGUAUAUAAUGAGUACCUUAAUAAAAUACCAGAAUUAGACAUUGGUGCAGAUGGGUUUAUAACAUUUAUAAAUAAAUGUACUAAAAUUUUUAAGAAGUUAA
Molecule: long non-coding RNA, 7665 nt
Organism: Leptidea sinapis
Lineage: Eukaryota; Metazoa; Arthropoda; Insecta; Lepidoptera; Pieridae
Exons: 3
Source: RefSeq, a predicted model, not a curated record